GGUUUCCAAGCCUGAGAUGCCCGACAGCCCGGAAGAGGGUGAGGGACUCUAAAAGACAGCCUACUUAACAGAUGGCUUCAUGCCCAAUAUGGGACUUGAACUCACGACCUGAGAUCAAGAGUCAUGUGCUCUGCAGCCUGAGCUAGCCAGCACCCCUACAAUUAAUUCAUUACUUACUUUGCUGCCCCUUUAGCCCAGGUCAUGAUUUCAGCGUCAUGGGAUCAGGCUCCGUGCUCAGUGGGGAGUCUGCUUGAGAGUCUCUCUCUCUCUUUCCCUCUGCCUGUCCCCCACAAAUAAAUAUUUUAAAAAAUAUGUCUCCAUCUUUCUCUGAGAACGUCCUUAGUUUUAGCACUACAAGCUGUUCCAUGUUUGGUUUGGAAUAUCCCUGGAAUCAGCCAUUUCUCCAAGGGGGCUGGUUCCUCUUCUUGGAGAAUGGUAUUGAGAAACUAAGAUCUGGGAGGUUGGUGUGCUCACUGCUACUGGGGUAUCAUUCAUUGCUCAGAGAUCCU
Molecule: long non-coding RNA, 509 nt
Organism: Lutra lutra (Eurasian river otter)
Lineage: Eukaryota; Metazoa; Chordata; Mammalia; Carnivora; Mustelidae
Exons: 3
Source: RefSeq, a predicted model, not a curated record